CUCCUUUGACGUUAGCGGCGGACGGGUGAGUAACACGUGGGUAACCUACCUAUAAGACUGGGAUAACUUCGGGAAACCGGAGCUAAUACCGGAUAAUAUUUCGAACCGCGUGGUUCGAUAGUGAAAGAUGUUUUGCUAUCACUUAUAGAUGGACCCGCGCCGUAUUAGCUAGUUGGUAAGGUAACGGCUUACCAAGGCGACGAUACGUAGCCGACCUGGGAGGGUGAUCGGCCACACUGGAACUGAGACACGGUCCAGACUCCUACGGGAGGCAGCAGCC
Molecule: ribosomal RNA, 280 nt
Filed under: uncultured Staphylococcus sp.
Lineage: Bacteria; Bacillati; Bacillota; Bacilli; Caryophanales; Staphylococcaceae
Description: partial 16S ribosomal RNA
Rfam family: Bacterial small subunit ribosomal RNA
Source: RNAcentral